Molecule: ribosomal RNA, 301 nt
Filed under: uncultured bacterium
Lineage: Bacteria
Description: partial 16S ribosomal RNA
Rfam family: Bacterial small subunit ribosomal RNA
Source: RNAcentral
CAGUCGCCGCGGUAAUACAGAGGGUGCGAGCGUUAAUCGGAUUUACUGGGCGUAAAGCGUGCGUAGGCGGCUUCUUAAGUCGGAUGUGAAAUCCCUGAGCUUAACUUAGGAAUUGCAUUUGAUACUGGGAAGCUAGAGUAUGGGAGAGGAUGGUAGAAUUCCAGGUGUAGCGGUGAAAUGCGUAGAGAUCUGGAGGAAUACCGAUGGCGAAGGCAGCCAUCUGGCCUAAUACUGACGCUGAGGUACGAAAGCAUGGGGAGCAAACAGGAUUAGAUACCCGCGUAGUCCCUGUCUCUUAUAC